RNAcentral lists this long non-coding RNA (1677 nucleotides) under Homo sapiens (human). RNAcentral's name for it is "HSALNT0343059". The record is from RNAcentral. Lineage: Eukaryota; Metazoa; Chordata; Mammalia; Primates; Hominidae.
CCUCUGUGUGUGUGUUUGUUUUGGUGUCCCUUAACACUUUCCCUGCUUCAUCACACUGCCCAGAGCUUCCCACUGGGAACAUACUCUCACCUCCUUAAUUCCCAUUUCCUUUUUCUUACCCAAACAGGAAGGAGUAGCCACUAUUCAUGCCAUUGUCAAAACCUCAUGGCAACAAAACUUCCAGGGCUGGAAUUGCAAAGAUGAUUACAAAGGGGAGCUCCACAAUCAGGUGUUCCAAGAUAAUGAAUACUUCCAUAGCAACAAAAGUCUGACAAUAAACGGUUACCUUGAUUUUCACAUUUUCAAAGAAAAAUCCCUCAAUGGCAACUAGACCAGAAGUCUCAACACUGAAUAUGCAAUAAUGGCUACAAGUGAAGAAAGGAACAAGGUGUUCAGCUAAUAACGUGGUUUGGGAAGGGAGUUUGAAAAGAGAAGAUAAAGAAAUACUCAUCUAGGAGAGUAGGAGUGUGGAUGGACUAGAAAAAAGAAAAAGAAAUUCUUGGUCCCCAACAUGGAAAUCCAAGAUGCAAGGAAAUCAUAGGCUCUGAAUCACCUGGGGAAGAAACCGCUGCAGACCAAAUUGCAUCUUAGAUCCAUUAAAUCAGAAACUUGGAUUGCUGGAUUCAGGUACAAGUAUUUUUAAAGCUCCCUAAGUGAUUAUAAUGUAUAGCCAAAGUUGAGAACUACUGCUUUGGAGCCACUGGUCUAAUGGAACAAAUUGCAUUGAUUUACUUCCCUUAAUAUUACUAUGUAUAACUAACUAAAUAAGAUGUAUUAUUUUAUGUUUCUUCUUAAUAUUGGCAUAAACCAAUAAAUUAGUGUAUGUAUGUUUCAUUGUUAGAAGAAUAUAUGAAUAUUAUUUUUGUACCAGAUAUUCCAUCAGGAGCAGAAACGUUCACAGAAAAGGGGCACAAAUUUUAGGGGCAGAGUAAGAUGUGAACCAUACAAUCAGCUCUGAGCAUCCUCCUCUGCCCAUUUGCCUCAUAUGGUUUUAAGGAUGGUAAGUGCAGAUAAAGCUGUGAAUGAGAAGAGGAACAGAGCAGUCAUCAUGGAACAUGAGAGAGAAGCUAUGUAUUCAAGGCCCCAGAACCACAAGUAGAAGGAGCCUGGAUCCCAGAUAAUUUUGUGGGUCCCAUAGUCCUGAAUUGCCUGCCCAGGCUUUAACAUGAAAGAGAACAAUUUCUCUAUUUCAUUUAAACCACAGUUAUUACAGGGUCUCUUUCAACAGCCAAACCUAUUACCUAACUAACACAAGUCAUGACCAGGUAGUCUUGCUAACAGAAUAUCUCAUAUUCAAUUAAGUGUUUUAAAUAUAUACCAUUGUUACUGCACCUGAACAACCGAAAACUUCUGUGAGAAGACCAAAAAUCUAUACUUAGUAGAAAUUUUCCUUCUUAAUUUUAGCAUCUACAGAAAUGUGCCCCAUAUUUUGUCCUGUGAAUGACUUUCAAAAGUUCAGACUUGUGUAAUGCCCUAUAAGUUGAACCAAAUAUUAAUUUCUUUGCAAUAUAUAAAGAUUUUAUUUAACAUAGUGUAAUAUAAAGAUAAUAUAUGUCUAAUGUAGUAGAUGUCAAGUACAGUAUGUGUUUGGUAUUUAGACCUUAUAAAAAAAAUUUUUCUAGCUCUUGUCUACCAUGUAGGUAACAUAUUCCCAUUUUAUAAAUAAAGCAAUUCCAG